This 111-nucleotide ribosomal RNA is filed under the name Octodon degus (degu). The record is from RNAcentral. Lineage: Eukaryota; Metazoa; Chordata; Mammalia; Rodentia; Octodontidae.
GUCUACAGCCAUACCACCCUGAACGCGCCCCCUAUCUCGUCUGAUCUCGGAAGCUAAGCAGGGUCGGGCCUGGUUAGUACUUGGAUGGGAGAAAUAUGUAUGUUUCAAAUC